UUUGAUCAAAUUAAAGAGUUUAAUUCGAUCACCAAUUAGAAAGGAUUCUAAUUGUUAAGUUCGGGUUCGCGCAGUUUGGACUUAAAUCGAUUAGAAGAGUUCUAAUCAAGUUGGGUCAACUCGCACUCACACCUAUUGCUGGCUAAGUAUGGAACCCAAUGGGUCACACACAAGAAAACUUAUCAAGGGUCUAAUUAGAUUAGAUCAUGUUUGCAAGAUAAACAUCCUAGCAGGUGUUGCAAACCUUAGCUCCUGAUUCGAA
Molecule: long non-coding RNA, 262 nt
Filed under: Phoenix dactylifera (date palm)
Lineage: Eukaryota; Viridiplantae; Streptophyta; Magnoliopsida; Arecales; Arecaceae
Description: long non-coding RNA (PDAC_LNC012091)
Source: RNAcentral